This 72-nucleotide transfer RNA is filed under the name Spirochaetota bacterium. RNAcentral describes it as "Spirochaetes bacterium (freshwater sediment metagenome) tRNA-His". It matches the Rfam family "tRNA". From Rfam's summary of the family: Transfer RNA (tRNA) molecules are approximately 80 nucleotides in length. Their secondary structure includes four short double-helical elements and three loops (D, anti-codon, and T loops). Lineage: Bacteria; Pseudomonadati; Spirochaetota. The record is from RNAcentral.
GUGAGUGUAGUUCAAUGGUAGAGCCCUGGUUUGUGGUACCAGUCGUUGCGGGUUCGAACCCCGUCACUCACC